CCGGGGUCACCGGGCGCUCCGGCGCCCGACACCAACCCUUUGGUUUCCGCUCGUCCUUCGGCGCGAAGGAGGUCCCCCCUGCGGGGGGGCCUCUGCCGAAAUCAACCCUGAACAACCAUGCUGCCUGAUGUUAUAAAGCAAAUCGUUAAAACUUUCAACAACGGAUCUCUUGGUUCUGGCAACGAUGAAGAACGCAGCGAAAUGCGAUAAGUAAUGUGAAUUGCAGAAUUCAGUGAAUCAUCGAAUCUUUGAACGCACAUUGCGCCCCCUGGUAUUCCGGGGGGCACGCCUGUUCGAGCGCCAUUUCAACCCUCAAGCCACGCUUGGUGAUGGGCACCGCCUGCGGGCGGGUCCGAAACUCGUGGGCGCCAACGGCCGGCUCCGAGCGUAGCAAGACCCUCGCUCGGGACCCCGGUCGUGGGCCGCCCCGGACCCCUCACACCUCACAAG
RNAcentral lists this unclassified non-coding RNA (450 nucleotides) under uncultured Cylindrosympodium. RNAcentral's name for it is "sequence contains ITS1, 5.8S rRNA gene, ITS2". The stretch from base 150 to 303 matches the Rfam family "5.8S ribosomal RNA". The record is from RNAcentral. Lineage: Eukaryota; Fungi; Ascomycota; Dothideomycetes; Venturiales; Venturiaceae.